RNAcentral lists this unclassified non-coding RNA (1341 nucleotides) under uncultured Neocallimastigales. RNAcentral's name for it is "partial contains internal transcribed spacer 1, 5.8S ribosomal RNA, internal transcribed spacer 2, and large subunit ribosomal RNA". The stretch from base 569 to 1341 matches the Rfam family "Eukaryotic large subunit ribosomal RNA", at positions 1 to 628 of the family's 3401-position model. The record is from RNAcentral. Lineage: Eukaryota; Fungi; Neocallimastigomycota; Neocallimastigomycetes; Neocallimastigales.
UGUUUGUAAUAAUUUUUUUUGAUUUUAAAAAAAAAUUAUUUAUGGUUUGUCUAUCCCUAAAAUUGGUUUGUUGUGAAAUGAAUCAAAUUUAGGGAAUAGGCUUUCAUAAAUAAGUUUUUUUUAAAGUCUUAAAGACCUUUUUUAAAAUUAAACUUUUGUAUUCAUUUGUCUAAAUUUUUUUAAAUAAUUUAAAAACAACUUUUGACAAUGGAUCUCUUGGUUCUCGCAACGAUGAAGAACGCAGCAAAAUGCGAUAAGUAAUGUGAAUUGCAGAAUACGUGAAUCAUCAAAUCUUCGAACGCAUAUUGCACUUUUUUAGUUUACUAAAAAAGUAUGUCUGUUUGAGUAUCAGUAAAAUAUUCUCAUAAAAACAUUUUUUGUUUUUAUGGUUAUGAGUGUUUUACAACGAUAAACAAGUUGUUUCACUUUAAAUUCAUUUUAAUUUAAGACCAUUUAUGGUUUUAAUAAAAAAUUGGAUAAAAUUUUCCCGUAAAAAGGAAUAAACUUUUCAGUUUUUUAAUUAUUACCAACAACGGUCCGAUUUAAAAGGAAAUUUAUUUAAAUAACUUGAUCUCAAAUCAGAUAAGAGUACCCGCUGAACUUAAGCAUAUCAAUAAGCGGAGGAAAAGAAACUAACAAGGAUUCCUUAGUAACGGCGAGUGAAGCGGGAAGAGCUCAAAUUUGAAACCUUCAAGGUUCUACCUUGACGAAUUGUAGUUUAAAGAAGUGUUUUCUGUUAGAUGAGUAGCAAAAGUUCCUUGGAAUGGGACAUCAUAGAGGGUGAGAAUCCGUAUUUGGUUAUUCAUUCUAGCUUUGUGAUACACUUUCAAAGAGUCGGAUUGUUUGGGAAUGCAGUCCAAAAUGGGUGGUAAAUUUCAUCUAAAGCUAAAUAUUGGCGAGAGACCGAUGGCGAACAAGUACCGUGAGGGAAAGAUGAAAAGAACUUUGAAAAGAGAGUUAAACAGUACGUGAAAUUGUCAAAAGGGAAGCGUUUGACACCAGUGUUGUUUUUCCGAAAAUCAAUUACGAAUGGCUUGAUUUUGUGUUGUAUUGACCUUAUCAGCUUUCUUCACUUUUUCGAGUCUUUCUUAAUGCACUUUUCGGUUAACAAGUCAACGUCAAUUUCUUUUGUUGUAAAAGAGUAUUCGGAAGGUGGCUUUCUUUUCGGAGAAAGUGUUUAUAGCCUAUACUUCUACAAUCGGAGAGAUUGAGGUCUGCAGCGUAGAUCCUUCGGGUUAGAUACACUCGUGCUAAGUUGUAGCUUUUCAUAGACAACUUGUUGACUAUGUUUAGUCAUGCGGCUUACUCGCUUGUGCUAUUUUACCUACGCUUAGGAUGUUG